GGGAGACCUAGAAUCAAGGCAAUAGUUGAAAUAAUGGAUGAGAACUUGCCAAAAAUGCCAAGAGACACAAUGCAUUUUAAAUGAGAUGAGAAGUCUGCAGAGUAUAUAGGAGAAGCCCUUUGAAUUUAUUUAAGCCUUUAUUUUAUUUUAUUUUAUUUUAUUUUAGAAAGAGGGUCUUGCUCUGUGGCCCAGGCUAGGGUGUGGUGCAAUUAUAGUUCACCAUAGCCUCAAACUCCUGGGCUCAAGCAAUCCUCCCACUUCAGCCUCCUGAGUAGCUGGCAUAUACCACCAUGCCUGGCUAAUGUUUAAAUAUAUUUUUAGAGAUGGGGUCUUGCCCAAGCUGGUCUUGAACUCCUGGCCUCAAGAAAUCCUCCCACCUCGGCCUCCCAAAGUGCUGGGAUUACAGGUGUAAGCCACUGCAACUGGCUAACCCUGUAUUUUCUAUACAAAAGGGGACCUCAGGACCCCUUUUGAUGGAAUAGCUCUUACCACAUUGGAGACCAAGAUUUUGUCUUUGGGAAGCUGCUUUGGGCCUUUGUUGUAGAGAUCGCCUCUGCAAGUUGAUUCUAAUCUGUUCCUUCCCUUGGCCUCUUACCCGCAAUUCUGGCAGAAUUACGGAUCCAGAUGAGGAGAUUUGAGGAGCUGCUGCCCCAAGUGUGUUGGCUGGUGAUGGAGAAUUUCAAGGAACACCACUGGAAAAAGUUUUUCACCUCCGUGAAGGAGAUCCGAGGACAGUUUGAGGAACAGCAGAAGCAGCUGGAGAAAAGAAAGGACAAAAAUGCCCAGAAGCUCCAUCUAAAUCUUGGACACCCCGUACAUUUCCAAGAAAUGGAGUCUCUACACUUAAGUGAAGAGGAAAGGCAGGAAGAGCUGGACAGCAUGAUUAGGAUGAACAGGGAGAAGCUGGAGGUCAGUGAUACCACUGAUUCCCCAGUCCAGGCGCGCUCCAAAUAUAGCCCAAUGGACAGCCACUGACAGCGCCAGGUGCAGCCCUUUGUUGGUAUCUUGCCCAAAGCAGGCAUGAUUGUGGUUGGGUUUAGUAGGUAAAAAUGGCCAUUACUGGCAGUUUUAACUUGUAUCCUUUUUGACUUGUAAAUUAAUUAAUUACAAAAUUACUGAUAAUAACUUUUAUUUAGUGAUCCAUGUCUAGUUUUAUUUCCUCUUCUGUGAAUUGUCUGUGUGUGUGUCCCUUGGCCGUUUCUGAAUCAUUUAUUAUGUUUAAACCAGAUCACAUCUUGGGAGAGGCCUCCUGGCUGAGGGCCAGAUGCUGGUUACUUGGACACAGUGGAUAUAAUGGCUUGGGUCCCCAGAUCUCCCUGCAGAGUUCACCCAUCCCCUCUUCAGCUGGCCUUGGAGGGAUGAUCCUCUCCUAGCAGCACUGUGCUCACCAUGUUUUUUCCAGGAAUGUACCAGAAGGAAUGGCCAGGUUUUCAUAACCAACUUGGCCACCUUCACCGAGAAGUUCCUACUGCAGUUGGAUGAGGUGGUCACCAUUGACGAUGUCCAGGUUGCAAGUAAGAGGCACCACCAGCCUUGUGCCAUGGCCCUGGGGGGCUGGUGAGGGCUAGGUUGGGCAGGGGUCUGCUUUCCCCAACUCUAUCAGAGUGAAAACAAGUGAUCCAUUGAGGGGACUGAUUAAUUUUUGUUUUCCUUAAAAAUAAUUUUUUGAUUGAAAAGCAAAUGCCAGAUGGCUCGACGUUUAUGUAUAAAAAAUGAAACCCUAUUAAGUAAACAUUUCCAUACUCUUGGGGUUAGGGAUACCUUUUCUAAGUAUGACAGGAGAGCUAGAAGCCAUAGAGGGAAUGGCUGGCUCUUUGUAGCCAAAACAAAAACAGAAAAAUGUCAAAAGAUGGAAAGACAAACCACAAACUGGAAAAGUAUUCCUCACAACUUACAGAUCAGAGAAAGGGUUAAUAUCCCUGUGGUACAAAGAACUCUCACAGGUCAAAUUUUUAAAGAGACGAAGGACAAAAACAUGCUCUUCAAAAGAGAAGCAGUUCAUAUGGCUAGUCACUGUAAAAAAUGCUCAACUUCACUGAUGAUGAAAAAUGAAAAUCUAAGCAUUAUUUAGAUAUCAUUUCUCACCAAUAGCCUGGCAAAGUUUUUACAUUUGGUAACAACGUAAAAGAAUGUCAAGAAACAGAGACUCUGCAGAGACUCUUGGUAGAGCGUACAUGGAUACUGCUGUCAUAGAGAACAAUUUGUCAGUCCCUGUCAAAAUUCUGAGUGUGUAGACGUUUGGCUUAGCACGUCUAAUUCUAGGAAUUUAUCUGAGAGAAAUACUUGGACACUUUUUCAAAGGUAUAUGUUCAAAAAUGUUCACAGCACUGUUUGAAAUGGCAGAGAAUUGGAAGCAACACUGACAUUGAUAUACAGAAAAUUCAAUGGGCCAGGCACAGUGGCCCACACCUGCAGUCCCAGCACUUGAGAGGCUGAGGUGGGUGGAUCUCUUGAGCUCAGGAGUUUGAGACAAGCCUGGGCAACACGACAAAACCCCAUCUCUACUAAAAAUUUAAAGAUUGGCUCGGUGCGGUGGUGUGCACAUGUAGUUCCAGCUCCACCUCCUGGAGGUGGAGGGCGGUUGGGAGGGUGCUGAGGUGGGAGGAUUGCUUAAGUCUAUGUCAAGACUGCUGUGAGCCUUGAUCAUACCACUGCACUCCAGCCUGGUGAGAGAGCAAGACCGUGACUCAAAAACAAAGAAAAUUGGAUGCAUAAAUAAGAGUGCCAGAUGUGCAGGUAAAUACCACGCAGCUGUUAAAGUAGGUCUGCAUGUGCUGACAUGGAAAGACAUGAAGGAGGGCUGUUGUGUGAAAAAACAAAUGGACAAAUAGGACAUGUCUAUGAUCCCAUCUUUUAAAACACAUGCAUGAUAUCAACAUGCAUACUCACAUCUGUUUAAAUGAAUCUGUGUGAGAGACAGAGACAGAGAGACAGGUACCAAACUGCUGAUGAUCACCUCUGCUGUGUGGGAUUGAGAGAGAUCCCUAAAAAAUUUUUUUUUCAUCAUGAAGUGAUGUUUACAUUUUUAAUAAUGUGCAUAUUACUUUUAUAACUAUAAGAUUAAAAUCAUACAUUAAAUGUUAUCCAUUUAUCACUGAUCUGUAAAGUAAUUAAAAUACAUCCUUUUUAUUUGUAAAGGUUUUUAAUUACAAAAACAAUAAAUGUUCAUUCCAGUAAAACAAGAAAAUCAGUAUAAACCAAGAAGCAAGUGAAGAACACAGUCCUUCUGCCCUGAAAGCAGCGCCCUUUGCACUUGCUGUUCAUCCUGCCAGGCCUUUCCCUUUGGGCACAGGCCUGUGUGUCAGGGUGGCUGGGGAAGAUUACAGGGCUUGGGCACUUUUGUGACCUGAUUUCCCUGCAGGUGAACCUUGGCUGGGCUGGCCAGUCAACACUCCUCCUCUUCAGCGUUUUCAGUUGCUGCACACCAUAAUGUAAUAAGCAUUGUAACUUACUAAUUAGUCCCUUUGCUAUUGAACUUUGGACCAUUUCCAAUUUCCCACUCCUGUAAUUGUGCUGAAGAAAAUCUCUGCAUCCAUGCAUCUCUAGGGCAACAGACUCCUAGAAGUGUGGUGUCUGGAUCAAAUUGUGUACAGAUUUUUGAAGUGUUGGUCACUUUUCUAUAUCAGAGGUCUCUGUCAAAGGUGAGCCUCGUUUGGGAAAUCAGGGCCUUGCAGAGAUGCUGGGGUCGAGACCCCAGGGAGAACAGGCAGGCGAGCUGGUAGUGGAGCAGAUCACAGCCCCUUGCAAGGAACCCCUGAGCCAGGAAGACUCCCUGCACCAGGCCUUAGGAGGCCUCUGCCUGCUCUGUAACUCGGCUUCUGAGCCAGGCCACUGGGCCCUGCCAUUCAUGGCAGAGGAGUGUACAGGUUGCCUGCUGGCUCUCUGCACACAGAGCCCCCCACCCCCUUGCCCCCUGAUCUAGAAAGAACAUCAGAGCAUCAAAGAUUGGAUUAUUGAGCUAGAUAGUCAAGGGACAACCUUGAACGUGUUUGUUCCAAGGGAGGUUCUUAGUUCGGAACCUGUAUGAGCUAGCCUAAGCCAAAGAAGUCUCUAUGAACCAUAUCCGGGGACUCAUGGAAACUGCAGGAACGUCAGAGCAUCAAGCUUGGGUUUGGAGCUGGAAACAGCACCCCACACCACUGCUCAGAUUCCUUCAGCCAUGACCCCCUGCCCCUGUCACCACCCCAAGCUGUGUGGCUGGUGCAUUCAGCUUCUCUGUGGAGAGGGCUCAGCCUGCCAUAACUCCAAGUGGGGAGGAGGGGUGCCAGUCCUCCCUCCUCUAAGUGUAAUGCCAGGGGAAAUCCCUCGAUCUCAGGCUGUCGGUGAGGCUGCAGUCACUAGCCUAUCUUUUGCCUCUAGGGAUGGAGCCCCCCAAACAGAAAAUAUCAAUGCUCAUACGAAGGAAACUCGCUGGGCUCUCCCUGAAGGAAGAGAGUGAGAAACCCCUGAUUGAACGUGGAAGCAGGAAGUGGCCAGGGAUCAAACCCACUGAAGUCACCAUCCAAAACAAGAUUCUUCUCCGGCCAACAUCAUCGAUAUCCACCACCAAAACCACCCUGGGCCACCUGGCGGCUGUGGAAGCCCGAGAUGCUGUGUACCUGGUGAGACAGGGUGGAGUGGGCGUGUCCCAGGGAGCACAGCUCAGGUUGGCUGCCUUGGGAAGGGGGAGCUUCCCAUCACCCGGCACCCAACAUUUGGCUGGUGCAGCAGGCAACACAUGUUAGCGCACCCCAGAGCUGCAGGUCUCAACACUCAGGACAGUCGCCGUUCACAGGCACGAGGACGUUAGUGUGGAUCUGAGGCGUGAUCCCAAUGCUGUGGGAGCCCAGCUGAGGGACAUCCCACCCAGAUUAGGGGUGAAGAAAGGCUUUCCAAAGGCACUGUAGUGUCACAGCUAGGGAACGUUGUCACCAGGUACGGAAGCAAUGGUAGCCGUAGGCUCAGGGGGAACGCGGCAGCAGGAGCAGUCACAGCUCCUGAGAACUUACUGGGAAGUACUUACUGAGAGCUUCUGCUCUUGACAUGAGGCAUCUCACUGAAUCCUCCUAACAACUCCACAAGGGAGGUAAAAUUAUUAUCCUCAUUUCAUUGACGAGGACACUGAGGCUUAAAGAAACUUGUCCCCUCUAUGCCACUACAGAGUGGCAGAGCCAGGAUUUGAUCCCAGUGCCUGUCAGACCCCCUGGGGACAGCCUGAUGAGGAGGCUACACCCAGAUGCCACCUGAGGGACCUCUUGGCUUUGAAGAUCUGUGGACCUUUGGUCCUGAUGCCCAGAGAUAAACCUUGUCCUGCCCAGAGACCAGCUGGCCCCCUUAUUGGGAGAAGCUGAAGUGCCCAGGGUCAGCCCUCCCCCAGCUUCCCCUCCAAGCCCCAGGCAGAGGGUACAGCUCAGCCUGCUGAGUUCAGUGAGGGCGGGAGGCCUGGAAGGCCCAGCCUACCCAAAAACCGGGAGCCCUGAGCUCCCCAGAGGCCGCAGUGUGGGACAGAGCUCAGGAAGGAGUGCUGAGCCUAGAGUCAGAUAGACACAGGUCCUAGUCCCUGCUCAGCCUCCUUCUAGCUGGGUGACCCCAGGCCAGACUCUGAGCCUCAGUUUCCCUGUCUUGUAAAAUGGGAGAAACAACUAGGCCUACCUGGUUUCUACCUGAGAAGUGACUUGGGGAACUCUUGCCAGUGCCUGGAAUGGGUUAAAAACCACCUGCCAGCAAGUUACAGCAUUGCCCUAGGGGAGAGGGUCCAGAUGUCUCUCCUCAUGUGGACCCCUCCUGCUACCUUCGUUCUAGAAAUAUUUAGCAUCAUUUGAGGAGGAGCUGAAGAGGAUCCAGGAUGACUGCACAUCUCAGAUGAAGGAGGCUCAGCGCUGGAAGGACAGCUGGAAGCAGUCCCUGCACACUAUCCAGAGCCUGUAUGUGUGACCCUCCACCCCACCAUGAAUAAACGCUUUCUUAUACAGACUUCUUCCCUGUCCAUCUACCUGCCUACCUACUUUCCGUCCAUCCCUCCCUCCCUUCAUCCCUCCACCCCUGCUCUGUGCCAGGCACUGUAGCUUUACCAGCGAACAGGACACAGCAUGGUCCCUGCCCACGUGGAGCCCUCUUCCCAUGAGGAAGGCAAGCAUGAAAGGGAAGUCCACGUGGUUAGCAGGGAGGGUGAGUACCAGGAAUCAGUCACUUAAAAUAGGCACCAGAACUUCAAAGGACAUCACCUCCAAACAGCAUGCUGGGCAGGGCACGUCAUCUUGAAAAAUGAAAUAAAGGUCAUGGGAAAAUGAUAUUUUAAUUUAACAGAUUAAACAAGUAUGGGUUAUAACUGCAACUCUGCACUGGUUCCUAGACCCAACAAAUAACUAAUCCAAUGUUGAUUGGUAUUUGUGCCACAAUUUGUCUGAGCAAAUUGCAAUAUUUUGGAAAAAAAAAAAUAUUCCAGGCCGCUUUAGUCCUGUGAUGCUCAGAUCAUUCUCUUGGAGUCCUCCAGCCUGCCAGUCUGUUGCUCGUCAACUCUUCUUCGAUUACAUGGCCUGAGCAUACAGGCUUCGUUUGUCAGUAGCUCUGUGUGUCAUCUGGACAGGUUUCCUCAGCCAUAGACCUAGGAGGCCCCAGCCCCUAAAUUUCCAGCCCCUGACAGCUGUGUGACCCUCUGAGUGCAGUUCCCUCACCUGGGGACACUCACCCUGUUCUGCUGGUCUGCUCCACCCAGUGAGGCCCUGCUUGGUUAGCUUGGUUAGCUUGGUGGCCUUUGUGCACUGAAGCCAGGAGAGUGAGGAGUCCCCUUCCAUCAAGGCAAAAGCAAUCUCCUGUUCUUUUCUGUGCUCCCCCCACCCCCACCCCAAUGUGCUACCUGUCAUUGCUUAUUAUUCCAAAAGGAAUAUAUGUGCAUUGUAGAAAAAAGAAUUUAUGAAACUAGCAAAAGGAUAACUUUAAAAUCCUGAGCCGGGCACGGUGGCUCACGCCUGUAAUCCUAGCACUUUGGGAGGCCAAGACGAGCAGAUCACCUGAGCUCAGGAGUUCAGGGCCAGCCGAGGCAAGAUGAUGAAACCCCAUAUCUACUAAAAAUACAAAAAGUUAGCCAGGCAUGGUGGCGCACACCUGUAAUCCCAGCUACUGGGGAGGCUGAGGCAUGAUAAUCGCUUGAACCCGGGAGGUGGAAGUUGCAGUGAGCCAAGAUCAUGCCACUUCACUCUGGCUUGAGCAACAGAAUGAGACUCUGUCUCAAAUAAACGAAUAACUAAAUAAAUAAUAAAAUUCUGGAAUCUAGAGACAGCCACUGUCCAUAGCAUCUUUCCAUGUAUGUGAGUUAUUUUUAUAAAAUGGAAUCAUAACAUGCGUUAGGUUGCAUAAACUGCUUGGUAAAUUUUAACUGGAUAAACCCUAUGCCAUAUCCUUCAGUAUUCAUUUACAUCAUUGGUUUUCAUACUUUUCUGACUCUGACCCACUGUAUAAACAUGUUCUAAACACACGGUCCUUGCACACAUACACAGCUUGGGACCAACAGGUCACAGGACAGCACUUAACCUUACUAGAAAGGCUGCUUUCUAAUAUUUUCUCCC
Molecule: small RNA, 7544 nt
Filed under: Pongo abelii (Sumatran orangutan)
Lineage: Eukaryota; Metazoa; Chordata; Mammalia; Primates; Hominidae
Description: retained intron
Source: RNAcentral